RNAcentral lists this ribosomal RNA (465 nucleotides) under uncultured bacterium. RNAcentral's name for it is "partial 16S ribosomal RNA". It matches the Rfam family "Bacterial small subunit ribosomal RNA", at positions 28 to 507 of the family's 1533-position model. The record is from RNAcentral.
GACGAACGCUGGCGGCGUGCUUAACACAUGCAAGUCGAACGGAAAGGCCCUGCUUGCAGGGUACUCGAGUGGCGAACGGGUGAGUAACACGUGGGUGAUCUGCCCUGCACGUUGGGAUAAGCCUGGGAAACUGGGUCUAAUACCGGAUAGGAGCAAUUUUUAGUGUGAUGGUUGGAAAGUUUUUUCGGUGUAGGAUGAGCUCGCGGCCUAUUAGCUUAUUGGUGGGGUAAUGGCCUACCAAGGCGGCGACGGGUAGCCGGCCUGAGAGGGUGGACGGCCACAUUGAGACUUAGAGACGGCCCAGACUCCUACGAGAGGCAACAGUGGGGAAUAUUGCACAAUGGGCGCAAGCCUGAUGCAGCGACGCCGCGGGUGGUAUAACGGCCUUCGGGUUGUAAACUCCUUUCACUAGAAACGAAUCUUUUUGUGACGGUACCUAGAUAAGAAGCACCGGCUAACUACGUG